RNAcentral lists this ribosomal RNA (285 nucleotides) under Triticum aestivum (bread wheat). RNAcentral describes it as "partial small subunit ribosomal RNA". The record is from RNAcentral. Lineage: Eukaryota; Viridiplantae; Streptophyta; Magnoliopsida; Poales; Poaceae.
AUUGUGCUUCUUCCCAAGAAAGAGGGCGUUGAAUGGAUCUCAGAUUUUCAGCCUAUUAGCCUCAUCCACGCAAUUGCCAAAAUUGUGGCCAAGAUGAUGGCCUCGCGGCUCGCGCCCUUUAUGCACCUGCUUGUCUCUAGGUCCCAGAGCGCCUUCAUCAAGACGCGGAGCAUCCAUGACAACUUUCUUUACGUUCGGAAUUUGGCGCGCAGGCUGCACCGUUUGAAAAAGCCCUCCCUUCUCUUCAAGCUAGACAUCAAGAAAGCUUUUGAUUCCGUAUGCUAG